Molecule: ribosomal RNA, 358 nt
Filed under: uncultured eukaryote
Lineage: Eukaryota
Description: SSU rRNA
Rfam family: Eukaryotic small subunit ribosomal RNA
Source: RNAcentral
CAAUAGCGUAUAUUAAAGUUGUUGCAGUUAAAAGCUCGUAGUUGGAUUUCUGGUGGGAGCGAUAUGCCCGCGCCGCAAGGCGUGUGAGCUUGUUCGUCUCCGGCCAUCCUUGGGGAAACGUGCCUGGCAUUAGGUUGUCGGGUUCGGGAUCCUCAUCGUUUACUGUGAAAAUUAGAGUGUUUAAAGCAGGCUUAUGCCGUUGAAUACAUUAGCAUGGAAUAAUAAGAUAGGACUUUGGUGGUCUAUUUUGUUGGUUUGCACACCAAGGUAAUGAUUAAUAGGGAUAGUUGGGGGUGGAUUCUGUAUUCAAUUUGAUUCGAGAGGUGAAAAUUUCUUGGAUUUAUGGAAAGACGAACUA